RNAcentral lists this unclassified non-coding RNA (546 nucleotides) under Hevea brasiliensis (rubber tree). Lineage: Eukaryota; Viridiplantae; Streptophyta; Magnoliopsida; Malpighiales; Euphorbiaceae. The record is from RNAcentral.
GAUUGCCUUUGCAGAAUCUCCAAGAUUUUUCAUGAGUUCAUGGUACUCCACUUGAAUGGAAUUACCAUGGUUUACACAAAACAAAGCAUCCACAUCUUGACAAAGACCUCUAAGAAGCUCAUACAUGUCGAGUAAACAAAAAAGACGUUCUGGUAGAAGGGGACCAAUAGCUACAGCUUGGCCAAAAUUCAAAAGACACAUCAUGGCAUCCUUUGAGACCUCAAUGAAACAUGUUGAACUGACAGAUCCAAACUCACCAAGAAUCUGAUCAAAGAGGUUUCUCUCACUAGGGAGAUAGAAUGCAAUGACAUUCUUCGUUGCCUGACGCCACUUCUUAAUUCUGCAAUUCAAGCUUGCCCAGUCCAUUCUCAGCACAUCUUCAAUGCUGAUUUGUUGCAUACAGAAAAGCCCCAAGUAUUCAUACAAUGCAUCUUUCCAGAAUCUGAUAAAAACUUGGCAAAAUUCCUGAACAUAAUGUGAAGCUAACAUCAGAUCUGCAAUGGACUUGAUAUAAGGAACAACGCCUGGAUGGACCAAAUCCAUUAU